Molecule: ribosomal RNA, 738 nt
Filed under: Shewanella baltica
Lineage: Bacteria; Pseudomonadati; Pseudomonadota; Gammaproteobacteria; Alteromonadales; Shewanellaceae
Description: bacterial SSU rRNA
Rfam family: Bacterial small subunit ribosomal RNA
Source: RNAcentral
CACAUGCAAGUCGAGCGGCAGCGGGAAGAUAGCUUGCUAUCUUUGCCGGCGAGCGGCGGACGGGUGAGUAAUGCCUAGGGAUCUGCCCAGUCGAGGGGGAUAACAGUUGGAAACGACUGCUAAUACCGCAUACGCCCUACGGGGGAAAGGAGGGGACCUUCGGGCCUUCCGCGAUUGGAUGAACCUAGGUGGGAUUAGCUAGUUGGUGAGGUAAUGGCUCACCAAGGCGACGAUCCCUAGCUGUUCUGAGAGGAUGAUCAGCCACACUGGGACUGAGACACGGCCCAGACUCCUACGGGAGGCAGCAGUGGGGAAUAUUGCACAAUGGGGGAAACCCUGAUGCAGCCAUGCCGCGUGUGUGAAGAAGGCCUUCGGGUUGUAAAGCACUUUCAGUAGGGAGGAAAGGUAAUAGCUUAAUACGCUGUUGCUGUGACGUUACCUACAGAAGAAGGACCGGCUAACUCCGUGCCAGCAGCCGCGGUAAUACGGAGGGUCCGAGCGUUAAUCGGAAUUACUGGGCGUAAAGCGUGCGCAGGCGGUUUGUUAAGCGAGAUGUGAAAGCCCCGGGCUCAACCUGGGAAUUGCAUUUCGAACUGGCGAACUAGAGUCUUGUAGAGGGGGGUAGAAUUCCAGGUGUAGCGGUGAAAUGCGUAGAGAUCUGGAGGAAUACCGGUGGCGAAGGCGGCCCCCUGGACAAAGACUGACGCUCAGGCACGAAAGCGUGGGGAGCAAACAGGA